Molecule: non-coding RNA, 1367 nt
Organism: Peromyscus maniculatus bairdii (prairie deer mouse)
Lineage: Eukaryota; Metazoa; Chordata; Mammalia; Rodentia; Cricetidae
Source: RefSeq, a predicted model, not a curated record
AGAUGCGCGUGACCCCAAAGGCCUGUUCCUCCCAGCCAGUUUUGGUGCUUCCAAACCUGGCUUGGAUCUGUGUGGUUUCGAGGAAGUUCCUGGUUUUCAAAUCGAGUGCUGCACCCCUGCCUCACAGUGCCAGUGUGGCCGAAAAUUAGGGAUGUGGAGAGUAGAGAGACAGACAGACAGACAGACAGACAGAGAAGAAUGAGGACUGUCAAAGACAUCGGAGAGACGCCACCUUGAUCUAUCUAUCCUGCUGCCUGCUGCUGGAGAGUCUCCCCUGGAAUCCUGACCCUAGAAUUGGAGACUGGAUCCAACCUUCAGCUAAGAUAUGUGACAGAUGGCCCAGCAGUUAAGAGCACUGGCUGCUCUUCCAGAGGACCCCAAGUUCCAUUCCCAGCAUCCACACAGCAGCUCACAAUCAUUUGUAACUACAGUUCCAGGAGACCCGGUACCCUCCAUCAGAUGUGCCCAGCCACUUUGGUUUUAGUUGAUUCCAGCCGUAUAGUCAAGUUGACAACUAAGAUUAGCCAUCACAUGUUACCUGGAAGUAUAAGAUGAAUAAAUUCUUUCCUCCCCAGGUUCCUUUUGGUGUACUAUUUAUCACAGGAACAAAAAAGCAAGCUCAGAUUCUGAGAUGGAUAGAUGGUAACAUCUGCCAAUUGUUGAGGACCAUCUUUCUAAUUGGGUGGGAGCUUUCUCUCUCCUUAAUGCUACAACUAAUCACAUAACAAAAACAGUCCUAGAGCCAACAGUCCCAAGAUCAUGGAAGCCAUUGUACUGCCAUUAUUUCUUAAGAAACUUGUUAAAGCACUAAACACUAACUGGGACUAUCAUACUCAUGGGCACUCUCCCUCCAUGGGGAGAGUUGAAAGAUUGAAUCAAAUCUUUAAAUGACACAUUACUAAGUUAAUCCUGGACAAGUCUCAAUUGUCUUGGACCCAGUGUUUGCCUAUAGCUUUAUUUAGAAUCCACACAGCCCUCAGGACCUAGGACUACCUCCUGGGAAAUGCUAUAUGGAUUGCAAUAUCUGGAGAGGGCCACUGACUUUCCUGCCAUGGAAGCUAAAAGUUUCUCAGAAACGAUGUGCUGGUCUCUCUUCCACCUUGGCUACAAGGCCUUCCUACCUGGACCCCCCACAGGAAUUUACAGCCCAUUCUUUCAGGCCUGAAGACUGAAUACUAAUAAAAAGAUGAAGAGACCAAGUUGGAACCAAUCUGGGAGUGGCCAUUUCUGGUGCUGUUAACUACCCAAACUGCAGUUCAGAUGGCUGAGAGAGGUGGGAUCCAUUACACCUGAGCGAAGAAGGCUGCUGGUAACAGUGCCCAGAGGAAAUAGACAAUCUUUUUUUUUUGUUGUUGUUUGUUUGUUUU